Molecule: ribosomal RNA, 253 nt
Filed under: uncultured bacterium
Lineage: Bacteria
Description: partial 16S ribosomal RNA
Rfam family: Bacterial small subunit ribosomal RNA
Source: RNAcentral
UACGUAGGGGGCAAGCGUUGUCCGGAAUCAUUGGGCGUAAAGCGCGCGUAGGCGGCCCGGUAAGUCCGCUGUGAAAGUCGGGGGCUCAACCCUCGAAUGCCGGUGGAUACUGUCGGACUAGAGUACGGAAGAGGCGAGUGGAAUUCCUGGUGUAGCGGUGAAAUGCGCAGAUAUCAGGAGGAACACCAAUUGCGAAGGCAGCUCGCUGGGACGUUACUGACGCUGAGACGCGAAAGCGUGGGGAGCAAACAGG